This is an RNA transcript of Morone saxatilis (striped sea-bass), 7506 nucleotides long. It is a transcript of the gene named collagen alpha-1(XXV) chain, with no coding region annotated. The transcript is spliced from 36 exons. The record is from RefSeq and is a predicted model, not a curated record. NCBI's taxonomy places the organism in Eukaryota, Metazoa, Chordata, Actinopteri, Moronidae.
GAGAGAGAUACAGAACAGUGUGCCAUAAAUUCGUGACUCCGCGCCAGAUGCAGUUUUGCUCCCAACAGCGCGUGUAGUUGUAGUUAAAUGGAGAUCGCGGAGGCAAGAGGAGCAUCCAAGUGCGUGGAAAAAAUGGAGAAAGAAGUGGCGCCCAAGAAGCGACAGUGUUACCGCACAACAGUGCUGAACAUAAUCUCGUCUUUAUGUUCAGUGGCAUCCAUCGCCUUUUGCAUUCUUCUGAGCAUUAACGCAGCUGAUAUUAAGAACCGAGUUGUGGAUUUGGAGAGUGGGAAUGGCGAGCACACCUUUAUCCGCGCCCCUGGCUACUCCAUGGAUGCUUUUAAUUCACUGAUUGAACAAAGAGUGGAUGAGCUGCUCUCUCAGCGCUCUUAUGAACAUUUUGUCAAGAUCCGGACUGCCAGACAAGCAUCACCUGAAUGCAACUGCCCUCCAGGACCUCCGGGAAAGCGAGGAAGAAGAGGCCGCAACGGAGAACCUGGACCUCCUGGCCCUCCUGGUCCAAAGGGUGAAAAGGGGGAUCAAGGCGACCAGGGACCACGGAUGGUCUUCCCUAAGAUCAAUCAUGGCUUUCUUUCCGCUGACCAGCAGCUCAUAAAGCGGCGGCUCAUUAAGGGAGAUCAAGGGCAAGCAGGACCACCUGGGCCUCCAGGGCCACCGGGCCCUCCUGGGCCAAGGGGACCUCCAGGGGACACUGGGAAAGAUGGGCCCAGAGGUGUACCUGGUCUACCAGGUGAUCCAGGGCAGCCUGGAGAUUUAGGACCCAUGGGGCCCGAAGGGCCAGAAGGGCAGAAGGGUUCACUUGGGCUUCCAGGUGUCCCAGGUGUUGACGGACUGAAGGGGGAUGUUGGCAUCCCAGGAUUGGACGGUGUUCCUGGAGCCAAGGGUGAAAUGGGAGAGCCAGGUGAAAAGGGCGAUAUGGGUGAAGACGGACCCAAAGGUGAAAUUGGAGAGAAGGGAGAUGCGGGCUCCUCUGCAGCAGGAAUCAAGGGUGAACCUGGAGAGCCUGGACGAAGUGGACAAAAGGGAGAGCCAGGACUUCCAGGGCUGCCUGGACUCCCAGGGAUAAAGGGUGAGCCUGGAUUCCUCGGUCCCCAGGGAGAACCAGGGCUUCCAGGACUCCCAGGAACAAAGGGUGAGAGAGGUGACCACGGACCACCAGGAAAGGGCGAAAGAGGAGAAAUUGGACCCCUUGGACCAAAGGGUUCCCAAGGAGAGUCUGGUACACCUGGUCCUAAAGGGUCAAAGGGGGAGACUGGAGAUAAAGGAGACUUGGGAUCUAUUGGCCCAAGGGGCCCUCCUGGGCAGAAAGGAGACCAAGGAGCCACUGAAAUCAUCGACUACAAUGGAAACAUCCAGGAGGCUCUACAGAAGAUUACCACUAUUACAGUAACGGGUCCUCCUGGACCUACUGGGCCAAUGGGACCGCAGGGUUUAAAGGGGGACCGUGGUAUGCCUGGUCUUCCUGGACUCGAUGGUGAAAGAGGCUACAAAGGUUCCAAAGGAGACAUGGGAAUGCCCGGCGCUUCAGGGGAGAAAGGAACAACUGGUUUACCUGGGCUACCUGGUGUCAAUGGGAUGAAAGGGGACAAGGGAGAUUCAGGUCUACCUGGUCCUCAAGGUCCAUCAAUCAGUGGUCCUCCAGGACCACCAGGGCCACAUGGACCCCCAGGACCCAUGGGCCCCCAUGGUUUCCCUGGACCAAAGGGGGAACCUGGUCUGCAUGGUGUGAAGGGGAUGCGAGGGGAACCAGGACACAAAGGGGACCGCGGACCACUGGGGCUCCCCGGCACGGAUGGGCCUUCGGGUCCAGCUGGUCCAGCUGGGCCGAAGGGUGACAUAGGUGAGAAAGGAGCACAGGGCGAGCCUGGACCAAGAGGACCUUAUGGACUGCCUGGAGCUGCUGGAACACCAGGCUUGGAUGGGUUGCCAGGCUUAAGGGGAGAGAAAGGCGACGUUGGGGAAAGAGGAGAAAAGGGUUUCCGGGGAUUUAAGGGUGAAAAGGGGGAACCAGGGCAGCCAGGUCUGGAUGGGCUGGAUGCCCCAUGCCAAUUGGUACAGUAUUUCUCUUUUUCCUCCACCUCUUGCCCAUGCAUGCUGCUCACCUUCAGUCAUUACUGACAGCAAACCAUGCAUGACUUGAGAGCUUAACAAUCAUGAACAUGCCUUAUUUGAAGCACAGCUCCAUUUUCCAUUCAUGAAUUGUUUAAAAAUAAACAAAAAAAACACACGCACCAACAUAUACUUCACUAACUUCCUGACUGCAAGCAGCCUCUUUUAGAUAUCACACAUCAUGACAAGUGAAGUAUACAAAUAAACAUAUGGUUGUUGAUAUAAUUGAUACUUAAAUCUAUCCCUCUAACUGAAUCCUUCCAUUCCCCUGAUUAAAACCUGAAAAGGGUUCUGUUUAAAUCCUGUUUCCUUCAAGCUGAUACCUCCAUAGCCCCAGUUACCUAUUUAACCCGAUGCUAACACAGACUCCUUUACUGAUGCCCAUGCUACUGGCACAUGGACCCCUCCUCUACUCUGUUAACUCCCCCUUUCCCUUUCCUGUAUUUGUACCAAUUGGGCCAGACCACAACUAGAAGAGAAAAUCAGUCAAGUGGUUACAGUUCCAGACCUAUUCAAGAUGAGAACAUGAAUUUUGAUGAUUUUAUGAUUCCUUCUGCUGCUAAGACAAUACUGUGUUAUGCAUGGGAGUUCUAACACUGUGAGUAGAAUGUUUAGUGGUUAAAGUACAUGAGAACUAAUUGUAAGAGAACAUUGUGACUAUAUAAGCAUAAUGCAAUGAAAUGAGUUAUAGGUAAGAAAAAAUCAUAUAUCACAAAUGUCAUCUCAUUAAAUGUCAUCUAUAUUCAUUGACUUGAACCAGCUGCAAUGACUUUAUCUUAAGAUAAACUCCCUGAUUUUGUAAGUGUUUUUCAUCUCAACUUUGAGAUGAACUAUAAUAAAAUCAGAGAGUAGAAUCAUCAGUAUAUUGAUGUGCAUGAGCCACUGUAUUUUUUGCUGUGUAUUAUGUGCAUGGAUGAGAAUACACUCUUGCAGUUUUCAUUACAUUCAUUAUUCAAAUUAUUCAAAAUUCAAAUUCCUGCUACAUAAAAAUCCUUUUUAAAGAACUUAAUUUCACAUCAAGUGCAAUGAGUCAGAGAAAGUUUGUGCAGUUUACAUUGUGACAUUUCCUUCCCUAAACUAGACACUGUAGCAUUAAAUUCAGUAUUUCAACAUAGACAUAGUGAUGCAAUUUUCAGCAGCUACACAUUAAACAAACUUUCAAUUUUGAGGACUUCAAUACCCAGAAAUCCUAUAUUUUUAACUCUUUGAGAAAGCAGUAAACACAGUUUACUCGUGUUGACUGUCAGUUUCUAAUCAUCAGGUAAAAGAAAUAGUAAGUAAGUAGUAGAAAUAGUAUAAUUAAUGUAGAUGUGAGAAGUGAGGUUUCUGAUGAACACUCCUCUUUUGCUUCUGGUUUGAUUUGAAUUAAAUUAUCUGUGGGAAAAAAACUUUCUAUGAAGUAGCUUAAAGUAUGACAUUUGUUAUGUGUUCUUGUGGGUUCAAAUCUAGUCAUUUAUCAAACUUUAAAUCAUUGUGUGAGCUGAAUCUAUUAACAGCAAACCUCCCAUUCCUGUUUACAGUCCUCAUAUUUUUGUUGUUUCCCCUGCUACUCUCCUCUAAACAGGGCCCAGAUGGAUUACCAAUGCCUGGUUGCUGGCAGAAGUGAUCACUCUAACCUGAAACGCAUGGAGUUUGUAAAUAAUGCUUCUUUUAUGGUAUUUAUAGUUUUUUUAAUGGAUUAAAAAAAAAGUCUAAAAGAAAAAGAAGUCAAUGUGUACAAUGAUACAAAAAGAGAUAACUGUCCCGAGUUUCACGCCCUAAGCUGCUUCUACUCACAUCACCGUGUGGAAAAAACAACAACAACCGUGUGUGUGUGUUCGCUCUCUCACAUCCACAUCGUGGUGGAGUUCAGAUCCUCAGCUGGCAAGAGAACUUGUCUCUGUAGUCUUUGCAUGGCUCAGACUGGAGCGGCGCAGCCCGGCCAGACUCACGGUGGUGAAAAGGAGACGUGGAAAGAAGGAGGAGGAGGAGGAAGUGGAGGAUGGGGGGGAUCUGGACUGGCUCUCUAACACCAAACGCUAGGUGUUUUGUGUCGUUUCGUCUCAACAAGCUCACCACCCAUUCAUGCAGCACUGUGCCAAACAGAACAUUGCACCCCUGACCCUGCAAAAGCAUGAGUAGUAAUAAUGAAACUAUAUUUAUAUGUAUUGUACAUACAUGUCACUGUUUUGUGGUUGCGUCAUGGCUUCUGCAGAAAAAGAUAAAAAAAACAACACUAACAUAAGAAAACAACAACCCCAGAGCUCUAAAUUAGUAAUUUUUUGCUUUCCUUUAAUCUUCCCAAGGGAGUCACGCCAUGGCUGGUAGCCUGAAAAUCCCCAGAAAGUAAAAAGCUGUUGGUUAUUGUUGCUUUAUUGUGGUGAUGCCUGCAGAGAGAGAGGGUAUGAUAUCAGCAGGUUUUCACUGUUGCACUCAGCAAUCAUCGUCGUUGUGGUGCCUCCCAGCAGCCACAUGUCUGCGGACAAGAGGGGAGAACUUAGCAGGCUCUGCACUGACAGGAAAACAAAUCGGGCUCACGUGGAUUUGAGAUUGGAGAGGCCUGCUCGAGGAACCGCCUCUGAGCACGGGAAUGGAUUCCGCAGGAGAGUCGCUAAGAGUCUCAUCGAUCUCCAUAGAGAUCAGCUGGAGCAUCUGCCUCUCCUGACAGGCAGCGCUUCAAGGUCUACUGAGAGCGUUAACAGAAUGCAAUCAUGUUUUUUCUUUAUUUUGUUUUUGCUCUCAUUCUUUAACAUUGUUUGUAUUUUGUGUAUAAUAGCCUUUGGUGCCUCAAGCUUUUAUUCAUUCCUUUAUCAGAAAUGUACAACUUUAUAUCAUAUUUGGAAUUUUUGGAAUGGUGUUUUGUUUCAGAAGGGUAUGCUUUGUUUGGUUAAAAAAAGGUUGUAAGAGUAUUGAAAAGUCACACAUUGCGCACUGUUUUUCAUACGAGUUGUUUUUACAGGAUGUUGAAAUAGCAUGUUAGGUCAUAGCUUCACUUGAGCACACUGUAAGAUUGCAUCCAUGGUGACUGUGCAGCCUCUGAUCUUACUAGUGGUUUUGAAGAAGCUCAUCGUUUGUACAAAACGCAUCCGACAGUGUAACAAAUAUGCUACUUGUUCAUUCUGGACUUGUUGUAUGGGAUGUUAAUUGUACAGUGUUGUCAAUUCACUGCAUGUACACAAUUUAUGACUUAUGGAUUUCUUAAAUAUUGAAAAUUAGCAUUGAUUUGAGCAAGUGUAUCGGAGGCGUAACACGUUGUUUCAGGGUUGGGGUUCAGGUUCAGCUCAGCAUACAGCAGCUGGUAGUGUCAGAUGUGUCAGAUUAUGUUGAACAGAACAAUCUCACACUGCUCUUUUACACCUCAUGUAUUGUCUUAAAACAUGUAUUACAGUGCAAGGUAAGCUAAAUCGAACAGACGCAGUUAAUUGGUAAACUUCCAUUAGCUACACCACAGUCUAACUGGUGGCCAGUUAUGUCACAUUCCAUAUCAGAUGGAGCAAAAAGUGGAGCAGUACGUCAACAUAGUUUAUUCAUCUUUUCUUAUACUCAGAUUGCCUCCUGACAUAGUAGGUGCUAUGCAAGGUGAUACUCGGUACUUCUUUUCUUUACAACAUUAGAAAUAUGCAUGAUGAUUUACUGUAAGGGCAGAUGUGAAAAACCAACAUUUUGUUGUGAUGUAGCAGCAACCACAGGUGGAUUGAAGAAGAUUUUUUUCCCAUAUGGUUUCUGUUUGAUUGUACAGUUCAUCUCAUCGUUAUAAAGAAUGGGUGCACAUCUGUAUAGAUUAUAAUGGUGCUAUCUGAUAGUAGGUCAACAGCAGCUCAAAUGAUGCGCUCUACCAGUGGCAAGAACUACACAACAGGUUUCUUUAUUGUUGUUGGGGUUUUAUGUAUGUAACAAUUUUAAGGUUUUUUUUUUGUGCAUAUAUUUGUGUAUUUGUCUCAAUAUUUUAAGUGGUACAUUAUUUAUUUUUCUAUAAUUUCUUAAAUGAAGGCAUUUUGGUUCUAAACAGCAUUCCUUUCAGUUGUUUUGAUGUCAGUUUCUCUGUUGAUAUUAUGAGAAUUUUGGAUCAUGCUAUGGCAUCACAUAACAGUUAUGCAAACGGUGCAGUGUGAGGGAAGGUGGUCAUUUACAAAUUACAGACCAGUGUGUAUUCACUGUGCAUUUAAUUCAGCUUAUAGGCCUUACAAUUGAAUACAUCUGCUUUUAUUUAAUUUUGUGUGUCAAAAAGCUAACUAUGACAACAGAGUUGGCCUGAAUGUUGACAGGCCCAGCCAAUGCAACCGCGUAACAAGUUAAAUAUCACAUCUUUUUCUCACGCUCUCUCUUCUCUCUCUCUUUACAUUGAAUGUAGUUUGAUAUAUGUAUAGUGGGUUAUUAAUGUACUGUUAAAAUGUGCUCAUUUGACAAGAAGUGCAAUUUAUACUUUGGUUAAUGUGUGUAGCAUCAAAUGCAGCUGUAAUAUCACGUCAUUGUGAUUUCUAUAGCUCCAUUUGCUCAGUUAUGCUACCCUGUAUACCACUACCUGGAAAGAAAAUGUAGUAAUUUAGUAGAAGACGAAGAAAUCAAUGUAAACACAGACCUUUCAUUAAAUAUCAGAUUUUGAUUGGUUUAAACUUCCUCAAAUACUGUCCCUUCACUCAUGUUUUAAAAUGCUAUUUCCAUUACUUAAUAUUUACUAAGUUUUGCAUUGUGUUUUUUUAUUUUGUGUUUUGAUUUCCAGCCUUUGUUACAGUAUUUGUUCUCACAAAUUGCUGUAUCUUUAGCAUGUGCAGCUACUUUUUUAAUUGAUUUUUUUAUUUGAUUGAUUUUUUUUUUUGUUUGUUUGUUUAUUUUUGAUUGUUGUGUUUCCUUGUUAAAUUUUCAAAUUUAGUUUAUUCUGCUAUUAGCAGAAGUGCCAAAACCUUUUAUUUCCAUAUCAGUAUUAGCAGAGCUGGUCAGGGGCUCCAAAAUGACUUACUGAUAAGCUAAGUCUGUGUGUUUGUCAUUGUUACAGAAAAUGCUCUGAAUCAAGUUUUCCUCUGUAGAAACAGUACACGCCCAUGAGCCACACUUCAACACAACCUCUCAGAUAAGGGUAAAAGUGCUGGUGUAGGAUAACUAAGUCACAUUCAUCUGCUUUAUGUUCUCUUAUUCAGAACUCUGGAACUCUUACACAUACUCCCCAUUGCACCACAGCCUUACUCCUAUAAGUAUACUGCCACAUACUCUCCAGAAUAAAAUACAUUGUUGGUACAGGACAACAAAUUCAAAGCAAAAUCCACAUUGUGGCUUUUUUGAGUUAAAACUGCAUUGUUUUGGUCGUGGUAUAUGUUCAGUUUCUGUUCUGCAUUUGUAUUACAGUACUCUUUUUUUUUUUUUUACCCACUUGAUUGACAUUUCUUUAAAGACCCUUGUGUU